AUGUUGACAGCAACCAUUAAAAGUUGCAUGAAUUUCAAAGCAACAAUGGAUGAUGGAUGCAUACACGGAAUAUCAUGUGCAUGGCAGAUAAACCACUCUCAGAACGGAGUGCAUUUGCCGUCAUUGAACUUGUAUCGUGAGCACACUUUGGUCACUGUAAAAAUGCUGAUUUACAACCAAAGACUCAAUGAGCAGUGUUCAGCCAGAUGUGGAUAUGGGACGGAUAAUAAUGUCAAAAUGAAAAUUCUGUUUUCAUGGUUUUCAGCCAGAAAAGGUCUGUUUUCGCAGGAAAUUUUUCCAGUGACUAACGAUGAUCCUGACUCCCUGCUUGUUAAUUUCGCUGCCCUGUCUACCAUCGACACUGGUUGCCAAUCACACGGCUAUUUUAACAGUUAUUGCGACUCUGCCAAUAAGGCAAAAAUAAAAUCCAAGCUAGUAAUCGCUUUGGUGAGGAGGGAACCAACAAAUAAAAAGCAUACCAUAUAUAGACCUAACUGUAACAAUUUUCUGUUCCGAUUGAGGAUGCUUCACUAA
Molecule: ribosomal RNA, 534 nt
Filed under: Triticum aestivum (bread wheat)
Lineage: Eukaryota; Viridiplantae; Streptophyta; Magnoliopsida; Poales; Poaceae
Description: partial small subunit ribosomal RNA
Source: RNAcentral